RNAcentral lists this non-coding RNA (21 nucleotides) under Caenorhabditis elegans. The record is from RNAcentral. Lineage: Eukaryota; Metazoa; Nematoda; Chromadorea; Rhabditida; Rhabditidae.
UCAGCGCUGUGCUACACGCAA